Molecule: unclassified non-coding RNA, 379 nt
Filed under: uncultured Armatimonadota bacterium
Lineage: Bacteria; Bacillati; Armatimonadota
Description: uncultured Armatimonadetes bacterium contains 16S-23S intergenic spacer region
Source: RNAcentral
UCCGAUUUACACCGGCGGUCUCCUAUGAGUUCCCGACAUUACUCGCUGGCAACAUAGGACGAGGGUUGCGCUCGUUGGCGGACUUAACCGUACACCUCACGGCACGAGCUGACGACAGCCAUGCAACAAGUGUCUUCAUGUCCCCUUUUGGGGGAGGCAUCUAUCUCUAGAUGUUGCAAUCGAUGUCAAAUCUGGGUAAGGUUCUUCGGUUAGUAUCGAAUUAAUCCACAUGCUCCACCGCUUGUGCGGGUCCCCGUCAAUUCAUUUGAGUUUUAAUCUUGCGACCGUACUCCCCAGGCGGGAUGCUUAAUGCGUUAGCUGCGCCACUGACAGGCAAGCCUGCCAACGGCUAGCAUCCAUCGUUUACAGCGUGGACUAC